UGUAGCUCAGUGGAGAGCACUUGCCUAGCAAGCACAAGGCCCUGGGUUCAAUCCCUAGCA
Molecule: transfer RNA, 60 nt
Filed under: Marmota marmota marmota (Alpine marmot)
Lineage: Eukaryota; Metazoa; Chordata; Mammalia; Rodentia; Sciuridae
Also listed under: 2 other names
Rfam family: tRNA
About the family: Transfer RNA (tRNA) molecules are approximately 80 nucleotides in length. Their secondary structure includes four short double-helical elements and three loops (D, anti-codon, and T loops). Further hydrogen bonds mediate the characteristic L-shaped molecular structure. tRNAs have two regions of fundamental functional importance: the anti-codon, which is responsible for specific mRNA codon recognition, and the 3' end, to which the tRNAs corresponding amino acid is attached (by aminoacyl-tRNA synthetases). tRNAs cope with the degeneracy of the genetic code in two manners: having more than one tRNA (with a specific anti-codon) for a particular amino acid; and 'wobble' base-pairing, i.e. permitting non-standard base-pairing at the 3rd anti-codon position.
Source: Rfam by way of RNAcentral